GCCAAUCAGGACCGAUGCUCACAGUGACAACACUCACGCUGAGGAUAUUGUGGGUUAGAAGAGGAGCAUGGGUAAAAUAGAGGAGAGCAGGAGAAGUAAGAGAUGAGAUGAGAGGAGAGGGGAGAGGAGGAGGAGGAGGAGGAAGAGGAGAGGAGGAGGAGGAGGAGGAGGAGAGGAAUGAGAGGAGUACAAGGAAGCGGAAAACGGACGCACGUCACGAGCUGAUGGUGACAAACCGGUGCAAUCUCACAUUAACACCUCAACAAUCAAAGAUCUUUGAGUUGAUCAAAUUAUUGUGCACUCUAGCCUACAGUUUGUUUAGAGGAUUUACAGUUUGUUUAGAGGUUUACAGUCUGUUUAGAGGUUUACAGUUUAUUUAGAGGUUUACAGUUUGUUUAGAGGAUUACAGUUUGUUUAGAGGAUUUACAGUUUGUUUAGAGGUUUACAGUCUGUUUAGAGGGUUUACAGUUUGUUUAGAGGGUUACAGUUUGUUUAGAGGUUUACAGUUUGACAGCGCCACUUUUUCUACAGACAAACAUUAGUCACAGGAUUGCAAAGGGAAGGUCAGAUGCAGAUAAGGGGUCUAUGAGAGGGGG
RNAcentral lists this long non-coding RNA (596 nucleotides) under Salmo salar (Atlantic salmon). Its description in RNAcentral is "lncRNA (ENSSSAG00000092610.1)". The record is from RNAcentral. Lineage: Eukaryota; Metazoa; Chordata; Actinopteri; Salmoniformes; Salmonidae.